AGAGUUUGAUCCUGGCUCAGAACGAACGCUGGCGGCGUGGAUAAGACAUGCAAGUCGAACGCUGACAUUCAGGUAGCAAUAUUUGAAUGUCGGAGUGGCGCAAGGGUGCGUAACACGUGGGUAAUUUGCCGUGAAGUUUGGGAUAACUUGCUGAAAGGCGAGCUAAUACCGGAUGUGAAUGUAAAAAGGCAUCUUUUGACAUUCAAAGUUGGGGACCGCAAGGCCUGACGCUUUACGAUAAGCCCGCGGCCUAUCAGCUAGUUGGUGAGGUAACGGCUCACCAAGGCUAAGACGGGUAGCUGGUCUGAGAGGACGACCAGCCUCACUGGAACUGAGACACGGUCCAGACACCUACGGGUGGCAGCAGUCGAGAAUUUUUCUCAAUGGGCGAAAGCCUGAAGGAGCGACGCCGCGUGGGGGAUGAAUGGCUUCGGCCCGUAAACCCCUGUCAUUUGUGAACAAAUUGUUUCACCUAACACGUGAAACAUUGAUUGUAACGGAAGAGGAAGGGACGGCUAACUCUGUGCCAGCAGCCGCGGUAAUACAGAGGUCCCAAGCGUUGUUCGGAUUCACUGGGCGUAAAGGGUGCGUAGGCGGUUUGAUAAGUCUGAUGUGAAAUCCCGCAGCUUAACUGCGGAACUGCAUUGGAAACUGUUUGACUAGAGGAAUGGAGGGGAGACUGGAAUACUUGGUGUAGCAGUGAAAUGCGUAGAUAUCAAGUGGAACACCAGUGGCGAAGGCGAGUCUCUGGACAUUUCCUGACGCUGAGGCACGAAAGCCAGGGGAGCAAACGGGAUUAGAUACCCUAGUAGUCC
This 815-nucleotide ribosomal RNA is filed under the name uncultured bacterium. RNAcentral describes it as "bacterial SSU rRNA". It matches the Rfam family "Bacterial small subunit ribosomal RNA", at positions 8 to 796 of the family's 1533-position model. The record is from RNAcentral.